AGUGAACGCUGGCGGUAGGCCUAACACAUGCAAGUCGAACGGCAGCACAGUAAGAGCUUGCUCUUACGGGUGGCGAGUGGCGGACGGGUGAGGAAUACAUCGGAAUCUACUUUUUCGUGGGGGAUAACGUAGGGAAACUUACGCUAAUACCGCAUACGACCGACGGGUGAAAGCAGGGGAGCUUCGGACCUUGCGCGAGUGAAUGAGCCGAUGUCGGAUUAGCUAGUUGGCGGGGUAAAGGCCCACCAAGGCGACGAUCCGUAGCUGGUCUGAGAGGAUGAUCAGCCACACUGGGACUGAGACACGGCCCAGACUCCUACGGGAGGCAGCAGUGGGGAAUGUUGGACAAUGGGCGCAAGCCUGAUCCAGCCCUGCCGCGUGGGUGAAGCAGGCCUUCGGGUUGUAAAGCCCUUUUGUUGGGAAAGAAAAGCAGCGGGUUAAUCCCCCGCUGUUCUGACGGUACCCAAUGAAUAAGCACCGGCUAACUUCGUG
RNAcentral lists this ribosomal RNA (492 nucleotides) under uncultured bacterium. RNAcentral's name for it is "partial 16S ribosomal RNA". It matches the Rfam family "Bacterial small subunit ribosomal RNA", at positions 29 to 507 of the family's 1533-position model. The record is from RNAcentral.